UAACGCGAAGAACCUUACCCACUCUUGACAUCCAGAGAACUUAGCAGAGAUACUUUGGUGCCUUCGGGAACUCUGAGACAGGUGCUGCAUGGCUGUCGUCAGCUCGUGUUGUGUAAUGUUGGGUUAAGUCCCGCAACGAGCGCAACCCUUAUCCUUUGUUGCCAGCGGUUAGGCCGGGAACUCAAAGGAGACUGCCAGUGAUAAACUGGAGGAAGGUGGGGAUGACGUCAAGUCAUCAUGGCCCUUACGAGUAGGGCUACACACGUGCUACAAUGGCAUGUACAAAGAGAAGCGACCUCGCGAGAGCAAGCGGACCUCAUAAAGUAUGUCGUAGUCCGGAUUGGAGUCUGCAACUCGACUCCAUGAAGUCGGAAUCGCUAGUAAUCGUGGAUCAGAAUGCCACGGUGAAUACGUUCCCGGGCCUUGUACACACCG
Molecule: ribosomal RNA, 435 nt
Filed under: uncultured Citrobacter sp.
Lineage: Bacteria; Pseudomonadati; Pseudomonadota; Gammaproteobacteria; Enterobacterales; Enterobacteriaceae
Description: bacterial SSU rRNA
Rfam family: Bacterial small subunit ribosomal RNA
Source: RNAcentral